Molecule: long non-coding RNA, 2874 nt
Organism: Gopherus flavomarginatus (Mexican gopher tortoise)
Lineage: Eukaryota; Metazoa; Chordata; Testudines; Testudinidae
Exons: 3
Source: RefSeq, a predicted model, not a curated record
UUUUAUUGCUGAACUGUGGUUUAUAACAAUCUUUUUCACUGUCUGAAGAAUAAAAGUUCUUACUGUUUAAUGAACAGGCGUUUGAACUGGGCAAACGGGGUGACAGCACUGAACAUGAGAUCAUUGCAGCAUAGUGUAGCAAACUGGCACCCUGCCUUUUCACCCCUUUGCUUCGGCAGAUUUGUGCAAUCCCCAUUUAUAAAAUCAGCACAGGGGCUAGAUGAAUUCUCUGGUCUCUUCUACCUCUAUCACUGUGCAGGCACUUGCAACAAGGAUUGGUGCAGCUUUUGCGCAGUGCUUUGUGCUUGGAAUUUCGAGAAGAACGAAAAAGAAGACAGGCAUCCUGGUCCUAUUCCGAGAAAUAACAGGAGCCUGAGAAGAAACAAAUCUGAGUUUGUCCUAGAUACAAGAGUGAUGGAAAAAAUGUGAAUCUCCUGCUUCAAAAAAAAAAAAUCUGGCAUGUUUAACUACAGAGACAUCAGGAUGUGUUAGAGCUUCUUAAAACAAUAUAACUAAAUGAGCCUAAGUGAUUGUUUCUUUUACUUACCAAAAAAAUCUGUAUUUUAUUUUAUUAUUGCUUAAAUAGCAAUAUUUGGCAGUGGGUGAAAACGUACCUUUCAUAACAGUGCAAGGAAAAAUUAAAACGGAAAUGAAAAAUGAAGAAGUUGGUUAUACCAGAAAUCAGUGAAGCUGAACCGCUUCCUGAAGAGCACUGAAUUUUCUAUACCAGAUUCUACUUCAGUGGCCAGGACCUUUAUGGCCACUUAUUCUUUUGCUCUGGAUUCUGAAAAAACAUCAUGGAUCCAUCCCUAAAGUAGAAAUGUUCCUUUCCGUCCCGCAAGCAAGGCUAAAGAUUGGAGGAGAAUGAAUGUGAAUCUAAAUUCAGGAUUGCAGUCAUGCUAUUAAAAGUUUUCAGCUUCAGAACAAAAUGAUUUGGGAAAUAUGAUCAGUUUUCUUACUCUGUCAACAAUGUUUAAAAGUUGUAGGUGGUUCAAGUGACUCGACUCAAAUAACAACAAUCUUUGCAUGUCAAUAAUUUCUCAGUUUAUGGAGUGAAAGGUAGUUUUGAGUUUGGAAAAGAAGCAGUUGUUAAUAUCAGCCUGUAAUGGGAUUAAAUGUUGAAUAUGAGGAAGAGGCAAAAAGUAAAUAAAUGCCCGAAAGUUAUCCUUGCACUGAGGAUGGGUUUAAAAUGCUUUAUAUCCUAGGGCCCACCUUACUGUAGAGGUAUAAUGGGGAAAUGUUUCCAUUAGAAACCCAUUAACAAGCAUUUAAUCCAUCUUUAGAGCAUUAGAGGAAAUAGAAUCAAACAUUUACUGUACAAAUCUGCUGCAAGCAGACUUUAACCCAUUUACAGACUUAUCCUUCUGAUGUAUUGUACUAUGGCUACUCAUGAGUCAGAAUAGCAAAGAUUUUAUUUGUACUCCUUUUUUCCAAAGUUGUGGAAUCUAUUCUAAGUAUCUUGAUCAAUCAGCUGAUAUUAUUGUUUUGAAUGUAUGUGUGUAUAUUGCCUAUUUAUUUGAUCUUUUCCACCCCCUACUUGAAAAGGUGGGGGGGUUUAUACAACAGCAACAAAAGUUUUACUGAAUGUAAUCUUGACGACUAAGUGAUUCAGAUUAUUUGAAGACGAUUUCUACUGGAUCAUAUCGGACUUUUCCUAGUCCCUGAGACCCUAACUUGUGAGGUUUUUUAGCAACAAUCACAAGUCAGGCUCUUGGGACCUAGGCGGAGGGGAACCAGCAGCUUUGGACUUUAUUGAUUGUUUACUGCAAUAUUAACAGAACCAAAGGAGAUUUUCUUAUCUGGGGGAAAAUAUUUAUUUCAGAUGUUAAGCACUAGUGUUAUGCUACAAAAAAAUUGCUUCUGUGUAUUGUACAAUAUAAAGAUUCUACAUAAUUUGUAUGUUUGGAAAGCUAUAUUGUAGUGGAUAACAUAUAACAUUUAGAAUUUUAAUUUAGAAAUUUAAAAUGAAUGACAGAUCUCUACAUAAAUCAAGUACUGAAGAAUAAAUGUUUUCAACCAUAAUUUGCUAUUAUAGAUCCUUCUGGUGGAUAAUAAAAUGAAACACAUUUCCAAAUGUAUUGCUAUAAUAUUUAAUGAACUUUUUGAAACUUACAAAUUAUACAUUGAUCUGUGAGGCCUAGCAAAUGCAUUCAUACUGUUGUCUAUGGGGUAAUAAUCUGAGCGUGCAAGAAAACUGUUGCUUCUCUUUUCCUGUAAGGCAGUGCAGAGAUUCCUUUAUAGUUGUAACUGUAUCUCUUAGUCUAUAUAAUAAUACAAUAAAGGUUCUAAUUUGGUAUAUUAACCCCUUACUCUGAAAGAAAAGAGAAAGCUGGUGUCAAAUUCAUAAUCCUGUGAUGAAGUCACUUUGCACACAGAACCACAUACUUUUCAUUUACUUACUGUAUCUCAGCAGAGAAGACCGAACACCAGGAAUUAGGCUCAAACUUUAGUCUCUUCCCUCACUUUUUACUUUUCACUUAUAAAAACAGAUUAACUUCAGUGGCUGAAUACUUCAGUGGCUUCAGCAUAAGAUUUACCAGGACACAGCUGCUUUGUAAUGUCUAUCACUCCUAAAGUGCUGAACCAGAACACAGAAAAAUUGACUGUAUUUCUUAAUGUUUUAUAAGAAAUUUUUUGGUCCUGAUUAAUUUUUGUUCAGUUUCCUGUAUUUAACCCAAGAUGGUGCAGCACCCUGUUAAUAGUAUACUACUGUCACACUUCACUGAUUGAAACAAAGGCUUUACUUAGGGCAAGCAUCUAAACAAUUUGGUCAUUUUGAAAUUAAUAUUUUGGCUCCAGUUUAUUUUUUCCACAUAUGUAGGAGGAAUUGUGUUUUAUUGUAAUGCUAUUGUUAAAAUAAAUUAUUAUUAAACA